AGAUUUGUACCGCCGUUUUGAGGCCAGCUUGCUGGUACCCAAACAGCGUUAGCAUCUUUUGUCUUGGACAUUUGAGUAUGGYUUACGGGCAUUUAUUGGUUCGAUCUGAUUGUAAGUUACGGUCGCAUGCGACACGUGCUUUUCAUUUAGAUCGGUCCAGUUAAUGCUCUCGUACUCGCUCCCCAUGUAAAAGCCGGUCAUCUAUCCGACCCGUCUUGAAACACRGRMCAAGGAGUUUAUCGUGUGCGCAAGUUUUUGGGUGUUAAAAACCUAAAAGCGAAAUGRAAGUAAAUGGCUCUUUAGAGUCUGAUGUGCGAUCUUGUAAAAAAGGGCAGCAUGGCCCCAUUCUAACUGUUUACAGUAGGGUGGAGGAAGAGCGUACGCGGUGAGACCCGAAAGAUGGUGAACUAUUCCUGAGCAGGACGAAGCCAGAGGAAACUCUGGUGGAAGU
This 451-nucleotide ribosomal RNA is filed under the name Meloidogyne enterolobii. Its description in RNAcentral is "partial large subunit ribosomal RNA". It matches the Rfam family "Eukaryotic large subunit ribosomal RNA", at positions 446 to 874 of the family's 3401-position model. Lineage: Eukaryota; Metazoa; Nematoda; Chromadorea; Rhabditida; Meloidogynidae. The record is from RNAcentral.